Molecule: long non-coding RNA, 711 nt
Organism: Nicotiana attenuata
Lineage: Eukaryota; Viridiplantae; Streptophyta; Magnoliopsida; Solanales; Solanaceae
Exons: 4
Source: RefSeq, a predicted model, not a curated record
AAAGAUAACAAGCUUGUUGAACCUGAAGCAAUUGAAAAACAUGCUCAAAUCAAAGAAUAAUUCAAUCAGAUCCAUCUCUACCUAGCAUAAAGAUUAUAGAAAAAUAUUGUGGACCUCAAACUCGUAGCCAUGUAUUUGGCUUUGGGGGUGGAGUAAAGGCGAAAGACUUGAAAAGUGGAACUUCUUCAAAUGCUGAAUUACUGUCCGCGCUACGUUCAACUCGAGAAGAAAACAAAUCUUUGAAUGAGGAAAACAAAUCCUUGCAGGAGCGCUUGUCUACCUUAGAAGAUGACAUGAAAGAAAUGAAGAAAAUGAAAGAGUUCUUCGCUGCUCAACAAUCACAUGUCCCGCUUACGACAUCGCCCGUUUCAACUGAAUGAACACUGUUUUGUCUGCUGACCAACCUUGUUGAUGUUGCUCUAUAACACCUGGUGAAUUUAGACUGCUUUUGGGGUUUUAAAGAUUGAAGCUACAAGUCAAGAUGCAAGUUUAGAAGAUGCACAAGCUCAUUUAUUAUUUUGUUAGGGCUGUUAUUCAAAACUUGAUAUCCUAAUGUAGCUCAGGAUGUUAGCUAAGCUUUUUUUGUUCAGGUGUUGAGCAAAUAUAGAAAUUAACAUCAUCAUGGGAUGUGAACUUGAUAUAUUAUCUUUUUAUAUCUAGAUUUUUCAAUAACAAUUUGAUAUUUAUUGAUAAAAAUAACUCUUUGUGGCA